CCUCUAGCUGCUUCCUUAGCAGUGCUUUGUACAUAAUAAUAGCUUAUUCUAUUUUUCCCACUGGGGAGGCAGAAAAUAAAGUUAAUAUCAUCCUUCUAUCAGAAACAUUAAGGCAAAUUCAUUCAUUCUGAAAUCUUAUUCCUGGUGUAUGUGAAGUUGGGGGUUAGAUAUGGAAUACAGAGGAAAUGAAUAUAGAGAAAGUAAUUAAUAUUGCUUUAUAAUUUUUUCAUAUAUAUAUUUCUAUAUACAUAAAAUAUGUAUAACAUACUUGGCCAAAAACAUUGUUCCAGCAUCAUUAAUUCUUUAGAGGAAGGCAUUUUAUUUACAUAGUGAGGAAGCCAGAAUUCUCCUAUAUUGGUUGCACUAAGAGUUCAUGUCCAGCACUAACAUAAACUCAGGAUAUGGACAAACAUGGCUGACGGGACCGUAAGAGUAUCUAGGAGAAAGCUAAACUGCAACGACAACCUGAGUAAUGUGAGUUUUCAUCCAGGUCACCCAUAUAAGAUCUAAAACCUAGAAUAUUUGGCCUAAGUUAGGGGAAGGAACAAAGUUCACAUGACAAUACUUUAAAAGAUGUGACAGACAAUUUGAUUGUGUUCUUUUACAUCUUAACCUUUAUACAAAGGAGUUUUGUCAUUAUAGCAAUUCAAAGAAAGAAAAACAACUAGAAUGGACAUAAUUGAACAGAAAUCGGAGAGGAGAGGUUUACUUAUAGGUGAAUAGUUUAAACAGAAUUUAAACAGUUUAUCAGUAAGUAUUCUUGUCAGCAGACUGUUCUGAAACUUCUUGGCACAGAUUUUUCCCUGUUCUCUUCCUGCUGCCUCCUAUUAGAUAGCUUCCUCUUCUUUAUCCAGACAACUACUCCCUACAGCCUCUUUCUUUGCUUUGCUCAUUGGAUGGUGUGUAUUUCUUCUAAAGAGAUUACACUGGAGACUUGUUUCAUUCACCUUCUAGGCACAUGACAUGACUUUCACCUUUAGCGAGCUUUCAUAAUGCUUUUAGCUGUGGAAAGUUACACAAACUAAUUUAUGUCUAAGGAAGCAAAUAGAUUAACUUAAUGCCCUACAAAGGAUAUUAUAUGGCAUUCAAAGGCAUUCUUCAACAACAUUAGGAAGACAAUUUAAAAAUGAAUCUUCCCAUUUCAGGGAAGGCUAUGAUUUUAUUCAAAUGAAAUUUGGUACAUUAUCUAUCCAAUGGAGAUCUCCAGGAUUUGGAAUUGCAUACUGUAGUUAGUGUUAACCUUCAUUUAAUGACAAUCAGCCAAUGCAGAAAAUGGGAAAAUAGGGAUGGCAUUUUAUGUGGCUUGAUAUUUUUGUGUUGGAAGACACUGUUUUCAAUCAACAGGUGUGGUCUUCUAGGUCUGUUCUUACAAGAACUUCUGGCUGCUGUCCAGGUUACUCAUAAGCUGCACCUGUCAGACACCAAAGUCUUCCAUCUACCCCUCGAAGAGAAAAAGAGAGUGAGUAAGAGUGUUUUGACUCUUUCAUUCUUUUAUGAGUUUCAAUUUAAAAUGUUUAUUUUAUUCACACAGAGGCCCAGAUUUCUUUCAGAGAACAAACUCAUUACCAAUGUCAGAACUCGCAAAACCUGCUGUUGGGUCUGAAACACACAAGUUUACCUAUCAGCUUCCUCCCCCGCCUCCUACACCCACCCACUUUCAACCUGUUUCCAAUAUACACCAAACCUUCUCAUAGAGCUUUGGCAGGGACCUGCUUUAUGCAUUGCUGUAGUUCAAACAGAGCAGAACAACAAACAAAGAAUCUUUUUCCCGCACGUAACCAUGAGUGGGGAAAAUUAUUCCCCUAAAGGACACACCCUGAAAAACAACAGUAAAGAAGAUGGAAUAAAGCGAACAGAUUACUGCUUAAAAGCUCACACACCCUACCACAUUUAAACUUUUCCCUCUCUUGCUGAGCAGCAUUUUUUGUGUUGUAGCCUUAUCUUUGUCAGUAAAUUUUCCAGUGGCAUUCCAAAAAAAAAAAAAAAAAAAAAAAAAAAAAAAGCACAAGAUCAGACAUUGGAGAAGAGAUGCUGUAAGUUAUAAAGAAUAAAAGGGACAAUAGAAAUGCAUUUCUGUAAGUAAAAUCUUUAGUUCUACAUUUGGCUUAUGAUCUCAAAGAAACUACAGUUUCAUAGAGAACAGAGAACAUAUGUCCAACGUAUCAUGUAGCUCAUUUUCCCACCCCUAACAGAUCAAUACCGAUGGGAUUUAUUCUUAUAGCCCCUGGACAGAGUUGAUCCAGUACCUUUUUUUCUACAUUUUUUCUUCUGGUGAUCCCAUCUUAUAAAAAUCCUCUGGCUUCUGACAAGUGUUCCAAAUUCAACUGGAUAGCAGCUUUAGUCGAAUUCAUCUGUCAUAGACACUGAAAGGCAUUUUUGUGUCUUGUCUUCGGUAAAAUAUGUUGCCAGGAUGGUGGCUGGUGGCACCAUGUCAAGUUUCCUGCCUUUUGCCUUCAAGUCCCUACCUUUGGCCAUACUCUAAUUUGAGCAGUUGAACAGCCACCAGCACAGCCACCAGCUGACCAGCAGUGACCUCUGGACUGAAGUUGUUUUGAAGAUAACAAUGGAAUAUGAAUUGCAAGAGAGAAACUCCAUUGUAACCUUUUCUAAAGACAACUCCGUUUUCAAUUUGGUCUCAACAUGAUGCUACAAGAGUGGUCAUGUUGGGAAAAAGCCCCGACUAUCUCAGCAACUCAAAUUCCUUGACAUAAACCGUCUGGUGGAAGGACAACCUCCAGUGAUGCUUGGUUUCCAAACAAACUUUCCAUUGUUCUGAAUAAGGAAACUUGAAGCAUCUACUAGCAUUUUCCAUCUAUUAUCUCCUAGAAUCAGUGCCCACAGCUUUCCCUUAGGUAUUCCUAGGACUAGAUUUAGAAACUUCUCCUGGUUUGGCUAUCUCUCCUGUGUACUGUCAGUGCAAUAAUUUUAAUGGGUAUAAACACACCUGGAGGCCAACAGAGCCUCUCCCAAUUCCCUGUUCCUCUUUGGCUGUCUGCCCAAGGAGCUGACAAUGAUGACCUCAAACAUAGUGUGACACUUGACUUCACCUUUUUUUUUCUUUUUAAUUAUCUGAAGAAAUGUCUGUUUAUCUCUAAACACAUUGUGUUUUCAUAGCCUCAUCAUUUGGAACACCUGGUUAACUGUUACAAAAUCCAUAAUGUAAGUUACAAGUGGGUAUUUGGCUAUGAGCUAAGUCUGUUUUCUUUCCUUUCUUUCAUUCUUUUUUUCCUUUCUUUCUCACAUAUUUGUUUAGGACUUAUUGUGUGCUAAGGAUAGCCAUCAGUAUUUGUGACAGAGAAAUGGUUACAUAAGAUCCUGCCUUUGAACUUAUGGUUAAGAAAGAGGAGAAAUGUGAAAAGACAAUAUUGAACAAUAUUAUAUUUGCUGUAACAGCAAUAUCAAUACGGGCUUGUGGGAAGACAAGCUCUCCCUGGUAAAAACCUUCAGAGGGAAGUUUGCAUUUGAGUUGGCCGUGAGCAUGGCCUGGCUUUGACUUGCUUCCCCAGUUGAUUAGCAGAGUUCAGGAGCUGCCCCGAAGGAUCCUCAAACUUAAAGUCCAUCUCCAGGAAACAUAUUACUUUCCUAGAACCUAAUACCAAAGUUUGACAUCUCUUUGUAGAGAAAUUAAUAGUAAUUUUCUUUCCAGCAAUAUGACUUGUCUUUAUGCAAAUGAUCAAAAUCUUGAAGGGAUGCCUUAUCCAAUUUAAAGACAAAAGUCAGUAUGUCUUGAGAGUGUCCUGUAAAUGACAUUUGAAAAAAAGUAAAACCCAUAUUACUAUGUUUCUUAUAUGUCAUGCUAAGCAAUUUGAAAUUUCUGCUUUAAAAAGUAUUUAAGUCCAACAGAAGUUUUUAGUCAGGUUUUCAGUUCUUCCUUUACUAAUGAAUGGCAAAUAUCAAAACUUGUUUUGUCAAGAAUUGGUAAUUUCAGCAGAUGCCUGGCACAAAAUAGGAGCUUAAUAUACAUAUUUUUGAAUUAAUAAGCAAUCACAUAAUAUUUAUGUACCAACUCUGGUUAGCCAGAUAUGUGCUGUGUGUUUCAUCUUUUGUUUCAUAUAAAUUUGAUUUCUGCACUGCCCUAAAUCAAGAUUCCUAAAAUCAUUUUUUUAAUAUCUCACAACACAAGUAAUAUGAAUCUUAUCCUUCA
RNAcentral lists this long non-coding RNA (4144 nucleotides) under Homo sapiens (human). RNAcentral's name for it is "long non-coding RNA NONHSAT194260.1". Lineage: Eukaryota; Metazoa; Chordata; Mammalia; Primates; Hominidae. The record is from RNAcentral.